CCUACGGGAGGCAGCAGUGAGGAAUAUUGGUCAAUGGACGAGAGUCUGAACCAGCCAAGUCGCGUGAAGGAUGACUGCCCUAUGGGUUGUAAACUUCUUUUAUAAGGGAAUAAAACGAGGCACGUGUGCCUUUUUGCAUGUACUUUAUGAAUAAGGAUCGGCUAACUCCGUGCCAGCAGCCGCGGUAAUACGGAGGAUCCGAGCGUUAUCCGGAUUUAUUGGGUUUAAAGGGAGCGUAGAUGGGUUGUUAAGUCAGUUGUGAAAGUUUGUGGCUCAACCGUAAAAUUGCAAUUGAUACUGGAAGUCUUGAGUACAUUUGAGGUAAGCGGAAUUCGUGGUGUAGCGGUGAAAUGCUUAGAUAUCACGAAGAACUCCGAUUGCGAAGGCAGCUUACUAAACUGUGACUGACAUUGAUGCUCGAAAGUGUGGGUAUCAAACAGGAUUAGAUACCCGUGUAGUC
This 460-nucleotide ribosomal RNA is filed under the name uncultured bacterium. RNAcentral describes it as "partial 16S ribosomal RNA". It matches the Rfam family "Bacterial small subunit ribosomal RNA", at positions 338 to 795 of the family's 1533-position model. The record is from RNAcentral.